This 345-nucleotide unclassified non-coding RNA is filed under the name soil metagenome. Its description in RNAcentral is "partial contains 5.8S ribosomal RNA, internal transcribed spacer 2, and large subunit ribosomal RNA". The stretch from base 1 to 120 matches the Rfam family "5.8S ribosomal RNA", at positions 35 to 154 of the family's 154-position model. The record is from RNAcentral.
GAUGAAGAACGCAGCGAAAUGCGAUAAGUAGUGUGAAUUGCAGAAUUCAGUGAAUCAUCGAGUCUUUGAACGCACAUUGCGCCCCCUGGUAUUCCGGGGGGCAUGCCUGUCCGAGCGUCAUUGCUGCCCUCAAGCACGGCUUGUGUGUUGGGCCUCCGUCCUCCUCCCGGGGGACGGGCCCGAAAGGCAGCGGCGGCACCGCGUCCGGUCCUCGAGCGUAUGGGGCUUCGUCACCCGCUCUUGUAGGCCCGGCCGGCGCUUGCCGACACAUCAAUCUUUUUUCCAGGUUGACCUCGGAUCAGGUAGGGAUACCCGCUGAACUUAAGCAUAUCAAUAAGCGGAGGA